GUGCUCACUUCGGCAGCACAUAUACUAAAAUUGGAACGAUACAGAGAAGAUUAGCAUGGCCCCUGUGCGAGGAUGACAUGCAAAUUCGUGAAGCGUUCCGUAGUUUU
This 107-nucleotide small nuclear RNA is filed under the name Neogale vison (American mink). The record is from RNAcentral. Lineage: Eukaryota; Metazoa; Chordata; Mammalia; Carnivora; Mustelidae.